Molecule: long non-coding RNA, 366 nt
Filed under: Nicotiana benthamiana
Lineage: Eukaryota; Viridiplantae; Streptophyta; Magnoliopsida; Solanales; Solanaceae
Description: long non-coding RNA (NBEN_LNC035513)
Source: RNAcentral
UUCUUAAUCUUAUCUAACCUGGUGAGCCCGCACAUCCACCUGAGCAUCCUCAUCUCCGCAACCUGCAUUCUCUGAACAUAAGAGUUCUUCACUGGCCAGCACUCCGCCCCAUACAACAUUGCAGGUCUAACCACAACUCUAUAAUAUUUCCCCUUGAGUUUCUGAGGAACUUUCUUGUCACACAGGACUCCUGAUGCAAGACUCCGCUUUGACCACCCCGCUCCUAUACGAUGAGUGAAGUCCCCGUCAAUCUCUCCGUCCCCCUAAAUUACCGACCCAAGAUAUCUGACAUUGUCCCUCUUGGCGAUGACGUGGGAUCCAAUCAUCAUGUCCCUGCCUACUUCGCUCGGCUCGGCGCUAAACUUG